UUCGCAAUGCCCGAAAGGGUGACGAAGCGACGCCGCGUGUGGGAAGAAGGCCUUCGGGUUGUAAACCACUGUCGGGAGUUAAGAAAUGUAAGGGUGUUAAUAGCAUUCUUACUUGACGUUAGCUCCGGAGGAAGCCACAGCUAACUCUGUGCCAGCAGCCGCGGUAAUACAGAGGUGGCAAGCGUUGUUCGGAAUUAUUGGGCGUAAAGAGCACGUAGGCGGCCCUGCAAGUCAGCUGUGAAAUCCUUCUGCUCAACGGAAGAACGGCAGUUGAUACUACAGGGCUCGAGUGCGGGAGGGGAGAGUGGAACUUCUGGUGGAGCGGUGAAAUGCGUAGAUAUCAGAAGGAACAUCGGCGGCGAAAGCGACUCUCUGGCCCGUAACUGACGCUGAGUGUGCGAAAGCUAGGGGAGCAAACGGGAUUAGAUACCCCGGUAGUCCUAGCCGUAAACGAUGGGCACUAAGUAGAGGGGUUUU
Molecule: ribosomal RNA, 477 nt
Filed under: uncultured bacterium
Lineage: Bacteria
Description: bacterial SSU rRNA
Rfam family: Bacterial small subunit ribosomal RNA
Source: RNAcentral